UCAGAGUAGUUACGGAUGAGCCGGUUGCAAACAUGGGAUGCGAUAAAGCCAGCAGCCCCAGUAAUGAGGAUGUUCUUUGGCUUAUAUGUAGCCAUGCCAAAACAAUUUGAAUCCAAUUCAGGUCAAGAUGAAGCAAACCCAGAUAAGAAAUGUAAAUUCUGGAGACAGAGAGAGAGGGAGAGAGAAAGACAAGGAAAGAGAGAAGAAGGCUGAGAGAAAUUGGAGGAGUAAGAAGAGGAAUGAGUCCAAGCCAAAAUUUGUGUAAAA
Molecule: unclassified non-coding RNA, 267 nt
Filed under: Hevea brasiliensis (rubber tree)
Lineage: Eukaryota; Viridiplantae; Streptophyta; Magnoliopsida; Malpighiales; Euphorbiaceae
Source: RNAcentral